UGGAACUCAACUCUAGACUAGGCCA
Molecule: non-coding RNA, 25 nt
Filed under: Mus musculus (house mouse)
Lineage: Eukaryota; Metazoa; Chordata; Mammalia; Rodentia; Muridae
Source: RNAcentral